UACGUAGGUGGCAAGCGUUGUCCGGAAUUAUUGGGCGUAAAGCGCUCGCAGGCGGUCCUUUAAGUCUGAUGUGAAAUCUCGCGGCUCAACCGCGAACGGUCAUUGGAAACUGGAGGACUUGAGUACAGAAGAGGAGAGUGGAAUUCCACGUGUAGCGGUGAAAUGCGUAGAGAUGUGGAGGAACACCAGUGGCGAAGGCGACUCUCUGGUCUGUAACUGACGCUGAGGAGCGAAAGCGUGGGGAGCGAACAGGAUUAGAAACCCCUGUAGUCC
Molecule: ribosomal RNA, 273 nt
Filed under: uncultured bacterium
Lineage: Bacteria
Description: partial 16S ribosomal RNA
Rfam family: Bacterial small subunit ribosomal RNA
Source: RNAcentral